UGUAUAAUUAUUUAAGCAUGUAGGGGUAUAGUUCAAUGGUAGAACGGCGGACUUCAAAUCCGCGUGUUGUGGGUU
This 75-nucleotide transfer RNA is filed under the name Malacoplasma penetrans HF-2. RNAcentral describes it as "Mycoplasma penetrans HF-2 tRNA-SeC". The stretch from base 22 to 75 matches the Rfam family "tRNA", at positions 1 to 53 of the family's 71-position model. Rfam says of the family: Transfer RNA (tRNA) molecules are approximately 80 nucleotides in length. Their secondary structure includes four short double-helical elements and three loops (D, anti-codon, and T loops). Lineage: Bacteria; Bacillati; Mycoplasmatota; Mycoplasmoidales; Mycoplasmoidaceae. The record is from RNAcentral.